AUGAACGCUGGCGGCGUGCUUAACCCAUGCCAGUCGAACGGUGAAGCUCCAGCUUGCUGGAGUGGAUCAGUGGCGAACGGGUGAGUAACACGUGAGCAACCUGCCCCUGACUCUGGGAUAACAGCCGGAAACGGCUGCUAAUACCGGAUAUGCACCGUGAACGCAUGUUCUGUGGUGGGAAAGAUUUUUCGGUUGGGGAUGGGCUCGCGGCCUAUCAGCUUGUUGGUGAGGUAAUGGCUCACCAAGGCGUCGACGGGUAGCCGGCCUGAGAGGGUGACCGGCCACACUGGGACUGAGACACGGCCCAGACUCCUACGGGAGGCAGCAGUGGGGAAUAUUGCACAAUGGGCGAAAGCCUGAUGCAGCAACGCCGCGUGAGGGAUGACGGCCUUCGGGUUGUAAACCUCUUUUAGCAGGGAAGAAGCGAGAGUGACGGUACCUGCAGAAAAAGCGCCGGCUAACUACGUG
This 468-nucleotide ribosomal RNA is filed under the name uncultured bacterium. Its description in RNAcentral is "partial 16S ribosomal RNA". It matches the Rfam family "Bacterial small subunit ribosomal RNA", at positions 29 to 507 of the family's 1533-position model. The record is from RNAcentral.